Molecule: unclassified non-coding RNA, 146 nt
Filed under: Chrysosporium merdarium
Lineage: Eukaryota; Fungi; Ascomycota; Eurotiomycetes; Onygenales; Onygenaceae
Description: partial internal transcribed spacer 2
Source: RNAcentral
ACAACCCUCAAGCUCUGCUUGGUAUUGGGCCCCGCCGACCCGGCGAGCCCUAAAAUCAGUGGCGGUGCCAUCUGGUUCCGAGCGUAGUAAUUCUUCUCGCUUUGGAGGCCGGGUGUGUGCUUGCCAGCAACCCCCAAUUUUUUUAA